CGAGCAGUGUGGGUGCAAUAAUUAAGUAACAUGGAUUUCUAAAUUUAUUUUGUGACAUGUCCGGUCUGGUCAGCAUGUAAGAAUGGCAUUGUUAAGAUCAGAGAUUUGUCUCCUGUGUAUACACAUUCGUUUGAGGUGUACGUACAUACAUCUCCUGAAUACAAACCAAGUAAUAUGACUUAUAGGUCUUUAUACUCUCUUGAGAACCUUGAUGAUCUUGAAAUGGAGUCAGACCGCAGUGGUGAGCACUCUGAGGUUGAGCCAGUCCAGAAUGAAGUGGGCCUACCUGCAGCGACAGGUGUAAAGGAGACUUCCAACGUUUGCCCUGAGAAUCCUACCAGAGAUGGAAAGAGUGGAUUCCUGCAUUGUGGCUGACCCAUAUAUUGUGUCGGGCUGGCCAGCCAGCCAGCCAGGUAGAAAAAUGGCAGAAAAAUAAAAGACGGACAUCAGAGUAUUUUUCAGUACACCAAAACGCAAAGCAGAGCAGGCAACAGAUGGCACACAGACAGCAGAGUUGGGGACAGAUAUGCAGG
Molecule: long non-coding RNA, 533 nt
Filed under: Salmo salar (Atlantic salmon)
Lineage: Eukaryota; Metazoa; Chordata; Actinopteri; Salmoniformes; Salmonidae
Description: lncRNA (ENSSSAG00000104818.1)
Source: RNAcentral